Molecule: ribosomal RNA, 468 nt
Filed under: uncultured bacterium
Lineage: Bacteria
Description: partial 16S ribosomal RNA
Rfam family: Bacterial small subunit ribosomal RNA
Source: RNAcentral
GACGAACGCUGGCGGCGUGCUUAACACAUGCAAGUCGAACGGAAAGGCCCUGCUUUUGUGGGGUGCUCGAGUGGCGAACGGGUGAGUAACACGUGAGUAACCUGCCCUUGACUUUGGGAUAACUUCAGGAAACUGGGGCUAAUACCGGAUAGGAGCUCCUGCUGCAUGGUGGGGGUUGGAAAGUUUCGGCGGUUGGGGAUGGACUCGCGGCUUAUCAGCUUGUUGGUGGGGUAGUGGCUUACCAAGGCUUUGACGGGUAGCCGGCCUGAGAGGGUGACCGGCCACAUUGGGACUGAGAGACGGCCCAGACUCCUACGGGAGGCAGCAGUGGGGAAUAUUGCACAAUGGGCGGAAGCCUGAUGCAGCAACGCCGCGUGCGGGAUGACGGCUUUCGGGUUGUAAACCGCUUUCGCAUGUGACGAAGCGGGAGUGACGGUAAUGGGUAAAGAAGCACCGGCUAACUACGUG